AGCGAACGCUGGCGGCAGGCUUAACACAUGCAAGUCGAGCGGGCAUCCUUGUGGUGUCAGCGGCAGACGGGUGAGUAACGCGUGGGAACGUGCCCUUCGGUUCGGAAUAACUCAGGGAAACUUGAGCUAAUACCGGAUACGUGCGAGAGCAGAAAGGUUUAUCUGCCGAAGGAUCGGCCCGCGUCUGAUUAGCUAGUUGGUGAGGUUAUGGCUCACCAAGGCGACGAUCAGUAGCUGGUCUGAGAGGAUGAUCAGCCACACUGGGACUGAGGCACGGCCCAGACUCCUACGGGAGGCAGCAGUGGGGAAUAUUGGACAAUGGGGGCAACCCUGAUCCAGCCAUGCCGCGUGAGUGAUGACGGCCUUAGGGUUGUAAAGCUCUUUUCUUCGGGACGAUAAUGACGGUACCGGAGGAAUAAGCCCCGGCUAACUUCGUG
This 437-nucleotide ribosomal RNA is filed under the name uncultured bacterium. Its description in RNAcentral is "partial 16S ribosomal RNA". It matches the Rfam family "Bacterial small subunit ribosomal RNA", at positions 29 to 507 of the family's 1533-position model. The record is from RNAcentral.